RNAcentral lists this ribosomal RNA (489 nucleotides) under uncultured bacterium. RNAcentral's name for it is "partial 16S ribosomal RNA". It matches the Rfam family "Bacterial small subunit ribosomal RNA", at positions 30 to 507 of the family's 1533-position model. The record is from RNAcentral.
AUUGAACGCUGGCGGCAGGCCUAACACAUGCAAGUCGAACGGUAACAGGAAGCAGCUUGCUGCUUUGCUGACGAGUGGCGGACGGGUGAGUAAUGUCUGGGAAACUGCCUGAUGGAGGGGGAUAACUACUGGAAACGGUAGCUAAUACCGCAUAACGUCGCAAGACCAAAGGGGGGACCUUCGGGCCUCUUGCCAUCGGAUGUGCCCAGAUGGGAUUAGCUAGUAGGUGGGGUAACGGCUCACCUAGGCGACGAUCCCUAGCUGGUCUGAGAGGAUGACCAGCCACACUGGAACUGAGACACGGUCCAGACUCCUACGGGAGGCAGCAGUGGGGAAUAUUGCACAAAGGGCGCAAGCCUGAUGCAGCCAUGCCGCGUGUAUGAAGAAGGCCUUCGGGUUGUAAAGUACUUUCAGCGGGGAGGAAGGGAGUAAAGUUAAUACCUUUGCUCAUUGACGUUACCCGCAGAAGAAGCACCGGCUAACUCCGUG